RNAcentral lists this long non-coding RNA (679 nucleotides) under Homo sapiens (human). RNAcentral describes it as "HSALNT0272589". Lineage: Eukaryota; Metazoa; Chordata; Mammalia; Primates; Hominidae. The record is from RNAcentral.
CUCACACACACACACACACACAAUGAAAAAGUAACUGAAGACAUUGUUUAAGCCUGGCAGGGGACUUCAAUCAUCACCUUCUAAGUGUUGUCCUCGUGUAGACUUUUUCCUCAUUGGAUCGGGUUUGUUCUGUGUAACCAACAGUGUGUAACAAAAGUGAUGGUGUGCUCAAGAGAUUAGAUAUUAAAAGACUGUUCUUUCCUUCCUGGGUGUACUCUUGUUCCCUCCCUCCCUCCCCACCUCCAUCUUUCUCUCUCUCUCUCACUGCUUCCUCUGGGGGAAGUCAGCUACUACCUAGUGAAGACACUCAGGUAGCCUCCUGUCAAGUCACAGAGAUCUCUUAACAACCAUCUGAGAGAGCUUGGAAGCAGACCAUUGAACCCCAGACAAGCUUUGCGAUGAGACGGCAACCCCAGCUUCCGGCUUGGCUACAGCCUAAGACACCCUGAGCCAGAACCAUCCAGCUAAGCCCCUCGCAGAUUCCCCACCCACGAAAAUGCUGAGAUGACACGAUUUCUUUAGCUGUGUAGCUGGGCUGGAAGGCUGCGGUUGGCUGAAGGCCGACUCCUGUGAUUGACGGAAAGGAAACAGCCAUUGAAAGAGGAGGAGCAAGAAAAUUGGCACUAGUUGCCUACUUAAAGCUAAAAAUUAGAAAAAUAAAUUAAUAAGAACUUUCAAA